Sceloporus undulatus (fence lizard) is the source of this 5019-nucleotide long non-coding RNA. RefSeq lists it as uncharacterized. Lineage: Eukaryota; Metazoa; Chordata; Lepidosauria; Squamata; Phrynosomatidae. The record is from RefSeq and is a predicted model, not a curated record. The transcript has 3 exons.
UGAGCUUUUAUAUGAUGCUUUAUUUUAUUGUUAUUGCACCCUUCCUCCCAGGAUCUCAUGUGAAUGGCCUACAGGGUUCUUCCCCUCCCAGCAACUUCUUGAAUAUUUCCAACAGUCCUGUGAGGUAGGUUAGGUGGAAAGAGACUGCCUGGAAGUCACUUGAUGAGCUUUAUGGUUAAACUGGGAUUUUGAAACCUUGAACUAAUUCUCUAAGGCAGGGGUAAAGUGACCAAAAGCCAUGAAUAUAUGACCCAGGACUUUCUGGUAACAGCUCUGCAGUGGGGACUGUUAGAACAAUGGCUUACCUAAGGUGAAGCAUGGAUGGAUGGAUGGACUGUGAACAUUGUGGCUCUACUGAGGCUUGACUCAAGAACUUUACCUUCGGAUUCUUUAUCUCAAGCCAUACCAGCUCUCUGAAGAUCUGGAAACUGAAAAAUCGGUUACGAAACAAUUGAUUUCAGAGUGGAAUACUUAAAGUGGUGUUGCGAAUGUUGCCUUGGAGCAGCCAAUUUACACAGCUGCAAAUUGUAGGUCCAAAAUUCAAAGGUCAUAAUGCUACGGAUGCUAGCGGCGCAGCUACUGUCUCUGGAAUUGCAAAACAAGCCGUGCUCUUGGGACCCACUACUAGGCAAGUACAUUCAAAUGUUGCAGAACAUCUUCCGGUCUUUCGAUCCAGUAGUGCAAACUCUGGAGUUGGCCAAGUGUGUGGCUCUUGCAAUGAGAUAGCAGUGUGUGUGUGUGUCUUUCCAUGUGUCUUUCACAGUUGCUGCCUCCAUUUCCCCCCUGUUUCUCACUUGCCUGGAGUUUAUCCACCUUCUGCACCAGAUGAAAUAACUGGAUUAAUGUUUGACAAUGCACGCACACAUACAGAGGCAACUGGCAUGCAUAAGCUGACAUGGUGGCUUAAUUUCAUGCAAGCCCUUCAUUUUCUGAAGCCCAUGAAACUGUUAGAGAGUUUAGUAUUAUAAAGUUUAACUUGCUGUCCAAAUUUAUUGUGAUUCCUGUUACAUUAUACGAGUUCUAUUUCUUGGGCUUUUCAUCUUCUGCCGAGAAUCGUGAGCUCUGCAUACUGCUUCUAAGCCCAGAUAAUAAAACCUUCAUUUUGUUCAGUACCCUCUAGAUGGUUUCAGCUUUCAACUUUUAAUUCCAGCCCCCUCUCCCCCAUUUUUCCAGCUGGCAAAAACUAGGGCAUCCUUGGGUACUUUAGAGUGCUUCAUCUUCUGUCUCCACUUCCAGCAUCUCUGAAUGCCUCAAGGCAGGAAGGCAGCGUUAAAAAUAAACCCUAAUAAUAAUAAUCCAGCUGCGUCUCUAAUAUUCAUUAAGAAUAAAAGAAUCUCAACUUUCAACUUGUGUAACUCUACUAAACUAAACAGUACAAUUGUAUGUAAUGUUGUACAUUCAUUCUUUUUCUUUUUAAUUAUCACAUAUAUUUCAAUUGCUGUUCAAAUUCCUGUUUUCUCUCAAAGUCCAUGCCCGGCUCCUGAUCUGGAGCAUGUGCAGUUGGAGUGUCUGUAUUUGUAUAAAUGUAAAUAAUGACGAUCACAAGGGGAGAGAUGAACAUAAUGGGGGUCUGUGUAAGCUCAAAGGUGGCCAGAGCCUCUGAGAAUGCUCAGCUGUGGUUUCCAGCACAGCUUGGCCGGAGCUCCUAAAAUAAAAUACAAUUAAUAAAGAUCUGGCUGUCUAUCACUUACGCUUUCCGAUUAGCAGUCCACAUCAAGAGAAGCAUGGUGGCAAAUAGGCAAAGGUGUACAAAGUCCAGGCCUUAUAUGCCUUUAUCUGCUAUGGAAUCCCAUUAUUAUCAAUUAACAAAAAGAGAGCAGCCUUAGAAUAGACUUCAGUAGUGAAGAACUGCUUCGAAACAUGGGUGGCAUCUGCAUUAAUUGUGGGAUGAAAGCUUCCAUGGGUGAUAGAGUGACAUUACUGGAUAAGGUAGAGGUAUGCAUGAGUUAUCUUUUAGGUGAACUUUAUGGCUACAAGGUGCUAGUGGCCAGCAUGUGUUACUAGCCUUCCAUCCCGCAAGUACACAUCAGUCAUUUGUGGAUUAGCUGCCCCUCCCCAUUUUGUUUAAUGCCUGGAGGUAGUUUCUUGGAGCCAUUUGUUACUCACCUUAGUGGCUAAUUAUAAGCUUGGAUUAAAAUAUAAUGGAGCAGACAAGCUGGUUAAUGCUCAGGGCAACUGAUAGGUAAGCAUUGAUAGGUAAGCAUUGUUUUAUUGUUGUAUCCUUAAUAUAGAUGCUGGAUUCCUCAUAACAGCGUUUUCCUUCCUAAAUUAAGCUUCCUGGUAGAAUAAAGAGAGAAGCUUAAUUGUCAGCAGUAGUUCUGUAAGAAUUCAAAUGGGUAAGCAUUUCUUUGUGCUUCACAACCCCAUGUAGACCUAUGUUCUAGUUUUACAUCUCUGUCCGCAACUAGUUUCCUUGGAGGAUCCACUUUGUGGCAAGCACACCUAGUGUACUUCCAUUUUGUAAGGGCUGACAUGCUGAAAACUUAGACACAACUGUGGCUAUGUCUCCACACCUUUCUUUGUCUACCAUUUUCCUAUACAUUGCCAAGAUAAAGCUUCAGUUCAUAUGGCUGCUGGUACUUUGCUUAGUGCUUUAUCUCUGCUCCCACUUGACUCCUCCUUCCACCAGCAAGACUGGCUUCGGUAAUAAGGAAUCUUCCAGGAGGAGAAAAGUUUAGCCUUCCUUCCUGACUGGGACUCCUGGUUUGUCACUAACCAGAGUCUGAAUGUGGCCAUUGUGAUUAAGGGCCAGGAGCAAGAUUUUCCAGUGCCGAAGUGUUGGCGAGGGUGUGCGCAAGGGAAGAACUUGCCGGAACGAGGCCCAGCUGAAACCAGGCCUGCUUAAUUAGCUGCGUUGCUUUUCCUAAAUGCCAAGUCACGCCCAAUUUCAAAACAGCGCGUUUAAACUCUUAUUAAUUUUGGAACAUUCCAGCGCCGCCUGCAGUAUGACCUUAAGGCACGCUUGGCUUGGGAGAGCAGAACAGCAGCUCCAAAGGUUUCUCUUGUGUUUGACUUGUCUCCAAGGUUCUCUUUCAAUUUCAGACGCAGUGUUUAAUCUGGCCCCACCCCAGUCAUGAGCCACUAAAUAGUGGCUCGCACAGAUUAGUUGGAAUAAUUAAAGUAGCCCUUUCACUCUUGGAAGCUGGAUUCACUUGGAGCCAACUGAAUGGAUGUUACUCUGAAUCAGAGCAAAGCAGCUGGUUUUGUCAGGGACUCUGGAGUCGGUAGAUCUGUCAUUAAUGCUGGAAACUGUAGGAAGGCUUUCAAAGACCAGAGGGAAAUGCCUGCAUUCCAGGAACAGGGCAGACCUUAAUGGCUUUAAAGUAUGUGGAGCUCUUCAGACAGAACACAGCAAAAUGCCCCCCCCCCCCCCCCAAUAACUCUGUGCUUUUGGCUAGGCAGCCUACAUUGCAGCUUGCGAUUUAACGGUUGCAGCGAGCCAUAUCGGCAUGCCCCAUUUCACACAAUUCUCCUAGCCGCAGGUUUGCACCUUAUGCCACUAGCCGUACUGAGCACCUGGGAGGGGUUGGUAAGUAGUCACCAGUGGCUUGUGAGAACUGGCUCCAAGCCACUGGGGAAGGACAUUUCUGCCAGGUAGAAGAGAGUUUGUUCUUUGUGGGUCUCUCAGAUGGUUCAUGAGGGGCUUGCCAGUUCAAGCUCUUCACCACUAUGCAACCUGUGAGGUUGAACUGGGGGCUGGACAACAGAAGCUAUUGUUAACCCAGAAUACCUUUGUUUUCUUUCCUCCCUCUUGGUCCUCCAAGGUCUAAUUUUUCCAAAAGCCUUUGCAACCCAGUAUUUAAUUAUUGGCUGAGAAAGCUCCAUGCCCACCAGCUGUGUGCCGAUUUAAGCCUGUAAAGGCACACAGAGACAUUCUGAGAACCUGCUCCUCCGCUUUGGAAUUGUUUUCCCCUGACACUUGCCAAAAACUGAACCUGCACAUCUCUUUGGAAAUUCUGGUGUAAGAUGUGUGUUAAUGAAAAAUAGCUUUUAAUGGCCAGGGUUUAGGAAAGAUAAAUAGUGGCAGCGUAACAACUGAGCAACUAUUUCCAUUUGUCAUUAGACUUUUGCGGCUUGUGCUUCUUGAGUAAAAAAAAAAAAUACCCUGCCACCACCACCUGAUUCCAGUGUCACUUUGCAAGCCACUUUGAAACACAUGGACUGAGUUUGAAACAGAGGGACUUAAAAUGUAGUGUGAGUGAAAUCUGCUCUUUAGAAUGUCUUUUAAAAUCAUACUGAUUUAUCUUAAAAUAGCUCUUUGUACCCCAGACAGUAUGUUAUUAACCCACCUUCAGCCCUUGGAGUGGAACAUGUUAUAAAGUCAAUAAAUGUGGCACAAAUGCCUUGCAUUGACAUGGAUGUCUGGCCUAGUUACAUGUUGCAUCUCAACCUAGUUGCAUCUCAGUCACAUUGGGUUUGAGAAACCCUUCACCACUUUGUGUACAUGGACCUAAAAUUAUUGUGGCAAUACAGAUUUGAAACUUGAAUGAAGUGUUAUGUAAUGUUACAAUUGUUAUGUGGCUGCUACUUUUUGGAUUAGGUGGGUGAGCCUGUUGUUGGGAGACCUAGAUGAGCAUGCAGUUUAUUUCAUUUUAUGAACCCCAAAACACACAUUGCUACAGUGAGACUUUAAUUUAAGACUGGCCAAUUGUAAAGAGGGCACAGGUCAUUUCUCUUUGCUGUGGUCACCCAGCAGGCUACACACAACACAUUUCAGUGCACCCCAAAGUCACACAGAAUGUCACUUCUGGCCACCAUUUUGACCAGUGUUUUUACUUUUCUGGGGGUCUGCUUAGGGGCGAUUGGGAAGCAAACCACUAGCUUUUGGGGUGGUUUGAGAAGAUUUGGUGGGUGUCUUGGUAAGAAAAAAUUGGCCCAAUUUUUAAAGAAAAUAUUGGGGGUUUUCUGGAGGUCUUAAGGCAGUGAUGGCAAACCUAUGACACUCAUGCCAGAGGUGGCACUCAGAGCCCUCUAUGUGGGCACAUGUGCCAUCACCCCAGCACAGAGUUUGUUACUAGA